AAAAAUGCAAAAAAAAAAACAAAAUAACCAAAAAAUGAAAUUAAAAAAAGAAAGGGGACCAAUUUGCGACGCGCGCACUACAUGGGGGACCUAAAAUGAAAAUAAUCCCUCUCCCCAAACGGUGCGCAGUAAUGGGGACCGACUUGAAACAAGGUAAAAAUAUUUGAGCCAAAUUAAAAAGAAAUAACUGGCUCAAUAAAACAUGGCGCAAAGGGGGAGGACUUAUUGCGCAAUUCUCCCACUUAAGGUUGAUAUGCGCAGACCCCCAAACUAAACAGCACCAUCUUUGUUCCGUUUUAAGUUUUAGAAAAAAAACAAAUUCAGGGUAAUAUUUUGCCUUUCCCUUUGAAGCAAAACUGCUUCUUUCUGGGUUUCCUUAACCCUUUGGCCGCCGUUCAGCCCACGCCUCGAUUCCGACGGAGGGGACACCAGCUCGACGACUCCGGCGAAAGGUAAGUCUCCCUUUUCCCCUUUUAUUCUAUUAUUUCACAAAACAAAUAAAAAAGAACAGAGAAAAAAAAAGUAAAAAUGAAAAUAGAAUAAACGCGAUUAACCUUCAAUUUUCUUUGUAUUUCAAUCUUUUCUCUCUAUUUUUGUAUCUUUUACACUGCAUCCCCUCCCUUUUUCAGAUUUUUAAACGGCAUUUAUAGCCGAAAGAAAACAAUCGGAAUAAAAUCUAUUUCCCUCCCCAUCCUUGCUGUGUUUUCGCUAUUAUUCUGCCUUUUGCUGUGCUUGUAUGCUUCUUUUCGCGGGUUUGGUGGCUUGUUGAGGUGUGCGUACGUAUGUGGAGGCGCAACUCGCGCGGAGAGGGACCUUAGCCCCGAGUCAUACGGUGAUUGGAAUGCUGGAAGCGGCAGCCAAGGAUUUUUCUGUUUAGGGUUUCAGUAGAUAAGGUAUUUGGAAUUUUGGGCUUAAGCUUUAAUUUUGUUGGGCCUAUAUUGGUUUGGGCCUGGGCAUAUGUGGGCUUGUACAUAUAAUAUUAUAAAAAUAUUAAAAUAAAAUUAUGCUUUCUUCCCAAAAUUUAUAAUUUUAUUUUUUAAUUCGUAAUUUGAUAUACUAAAUUUUAGUCCCAUUAGGCAUUGCUAUUUCAGGUGAAAAAGUGAUUUUCAGGGUGAGUUUGGAUGGGCGGUGCGUGCGUUUAUCUACGGUUAAUAUAAAAACAGCAGUAGCGGUGAGAUUAGAUACUGUAGCGAUACUGUAGCGUGAGACAAAAAAUAAGCUAAACGCAACGCACCGCAUCCAAUCGCGUAUCCAUACUCACCCUCAAUCUCAAAAGUAACGCAAAACAUUGACUUUGGGUUGAAAAAGCUACUUUUUUACCCAAAUCCAAAAAAUGGGAUUUUGAUCCUUAUGACUUUUGGGUUUUGAAAGACAAUUUGUAUUAAAAAAUAUGGAUUAAUUUGUACCUUUUGUAUGAUUAUAUUAAAUUAUUUAAAUAUUAUUUAUUAUUAUAUUUGAAAUUUUAAAAUAUUUUAUGUAUCAUUAAAUUUAUAAAUAAUUUAUUAAUUAUUAAAAUGUAUUUAAAAUGCAUAUUUUUGUAUGACAAUAUUAAAUUAUUUAAAUAUAAGCUAAAAUAAUUUAUUUUUAAUUUUUGACGUCAUGUAUAAAAUAGACAUUUUAACUUUCCGUUACAAAUUUUGACAGUAAUGUCAAACACUUAAAAUUAACAAGCCACAUUUUUCCACGGCACUUUCUUAUAGUACUUUCCAGAAAAAACUUAUUCAAAAACAUUUAUCAAUAAUAACAAUGCCAACAUUAGCCUUUAGUAGAGGUGAUCAUGGGUCGGGUCGGACCCAAGUAAAAAUUUAGGCCCAUUUGCUAGGUAUGGGCCCAGCCUGGCCCGAAUAAAAAUGCUAAAAUUUGGACUCGACCUGGCUUGCGCAUAUUAAAUUUUUUAUAUUAUAUUAUUUUUACAUAAUUUUUAAAUAUAUAUAAUACAUAAAAAAUACUAAAAACAUUAAAAUAAAUAUUUUCGAACAAAUUGAAAAUAAAUUUUAAAAAUAUGUAUACUUAAAUAAUACUAAAAUAGAUGCAACUCAACAAGAAAAUGUCACUAAAAUAAUAACAAAAUUAAUAAUAAAAAAAAGUGUUAUAAAACAUUCAAACAAUAACAACAAAAUAAUAGCAACAUAAUAGUGGAAUGGUAGCAAAAUAGGGAGAAAACAACAAGAAAAUAUCAUUAAAAUAAUAAAAAGAGCAGAUUUUGUUUUGCCAUUUAGUGAAUUCGGGCCGGGCUCAGGCCAAAAGUGUAUUACUUGAGGCCCGGUCCGUUUUUAAAACAGGUCUUAUUUUCUUUCCAAACCCAUUUUUCAAGCUUAUAUUUUUACCUAAAUCCUCCUAUUUUUCAGGCGGGCCUUCGGGUCGGGCCGAGUGGCCCAACCCAUUAGCAGGUCUAGCCCUUAGUAACCCAUAUAAUUUAUUUUUAUUCAUUUUUUAUUAUAUGUUCAAAGGAGAAAGGAAAUAAUUUUUUUUAAAUCAUUAAGGUCUAGUAAGCGAAUCAUGUCGGUCAGUUGAAUCAAUUGAAUCAAGAAAUGGUGGUUUGAUAGGUAAUAUAUAACUGAAAACAAAACAAAUCACUGUGAAAUGGUAAAAAACUGAAAAUCAAGAAAGAAAAAAAAAGACAGUUCAAUCGAUUAUAAUUUUUAAAUUUUUAUUUGAUUAUUGUUAAAUUGAUGACUUGAUGGACUGAGCCACUAACAUGAUUCUUAAAGGUAUCUUAUAUAAACUCAACAUCUUACAAUUUUUAAUGUAUUUUUUUAUUUUUCUUUUGUAUUAUGAAAUAAUUUUAUGUCUAUUUUAAUUAUUUUAGUUGGAUUAAAAUUAUAAUUCAAAUUAAAAUUUUACAUUUGCAAGGUAUUUAAAAAUUUAUUUAUAUAGCUUUUGCAAUAUAAUAUUAUAUCUAAUAUUUUCAUAUUAAGUUGUUUAUUGUUGGAUAAUCCAAAUUUAAAUAGCAAAAAGAAAUCAAAAUUUAAUAUAACUUGUAAGGUCCUUGAAAUAUUAAAAAAAAAAAAGGAAUAUUUUUAUAUUAAAAUGUAUUUUCUAAAAUUAAAUAAAAUAAACUUUAUAAGUUUUUUUCGUAACAAUUUAUUUACUUUAAAUUUUUAUAUAUACCUCUUAUUUAUACUUUUGAUUUCGUCCAUGUAUAUGUAUGAAUAGGGAAAUGAUCCAUAUACACUAUUAUUUUUUUAAAUUAGUUUUAUACACUUUUUUAACCUUUUGUAUAAUUAAUAUUUUAACAAUAAAUAAGUUGAAUUUAUCGAUAUAAUUUUAAUAUCAUGUCUAUACAUUUUCAAAUCAAUUUAAUAUAUUUAUUAUAUCAAUCUAUAAUAAAUAGACAAAAACUAGCAAUGAUGAUAAUGAUUGGAUUAAGGAUUUUAAAUUUUAAACUUUUAAAAUACAAAUUCUAUAAUAGAUGUAUUUUAACUUCAUCAUUAUGCUGGAACUUUGCAACAUAUUUCAAACAGUUGAUCUAAAAGGUGCAUGAUCGCCACUUCCUUCAUCUUUAUGAGCAUAUAACAGUUGUUUUUACCUUUGAACACAAACAUCCCUCCCUCAUAGUACCAAAGAGGAAAACUUAUAUUAUAACAUUGAAUUUAGGCUUACCUGUUGCACUACACUACUUGUUUCGUCAGGGGUGGCCUCAAUUGUAUAGUGUUUUACAGCUUUAAUGAUUCACUUUCAUAUAUUUAAUAAAUUGAAUAUGCAUUGCACAUGGAAUUUAGGUAAAAUAAUAAUGGAGUAUGCCUCCAUUGUUUAUGAAAAACAACUCCCUACUUGAAAUCUCGUUUUAAAGUCCAUCCAACAAUUCAAACUUUUCCAUUUCUAAUUUAGGGGAAAAGGAGAUCAAAAGUAAAGGCUGUUAUAGUUUAGCUUCUGGUUUUGUUGUCUUUACCCCACGCUAUAUGGAAGAAGACUCUUCUUAUUUAUGUCUCUAUUCAGUACAUUAUACAUACUUUAUAAAUAAAACUCUGUUUCUAUCUUAUUAGCCCUGUUUCAAUUUCAUUUCGUAUUUUAUUUUAGCAUAUCGAAUUUUUUUACUUUACGUCCAACCUCUCCCUCCUUUUUCCAUCUAUAUUCCCUUUUUUUUUCAUUUCAGGGCCAAAUUACGCCUGUUUUCACAUCUAGGAUUUACAUAUACAAUAUAUAUUACUGUUCCCGGAACUAGUCGGAUGGAGUAGAUAAUUUCCUUGUUUAAAUUAAAUAAAUUCUAAUUUACUAAUUUAAAAGUUAGAAUAAAAAAUCCCUCCCCAAACCGUGCUUGCAUUUUUCAUUGCACACGGCUUUCUCUAUGUAUCCAUCUAAAACCCUGUUUAUUCCCUAAACAGAACUCUAAAAAAAAAGCGGAAUACUUGGUCAAUCCCCUCUUAUUCUUACUGCCUGAACAUUUAAUACUAGAAUUGAAUUUACAUAAUUUCAUAACCAAUCAUGAAUGAUUGACCAGAGCAUUGAUACAAAUAAUAUCCAAAUACCAAAUUUGUCCCCUAUAGAACUUUCGCAAAGCAAAAAAAACCUCUUGAGAAGAUCAAAGAAAAAACAUGUUCUUCUUCCGUUUCCGUAAAGAAUUCUUCCAAAAAUUCCGAACCUAAUUUUUUUAAAAAAGCAUGGAUAGUACUUUUGUUUUUACGAGCCAAAGUCUUAACACAAGAAAAUCGAAGUAUAUAUUUUAUUCGAUACAAACUUUUUUUUUUUGAAGAUCCACUGUGAUAAUGAGAAAGAAGGGUGAAUUUCUUAUUUCUUUUUAUUGUGCAAGAACCAUGAAUCUAUCAUAACACAAUUAUGCAAAUAACACAAAUUUGCUAGUGAGGUAACAUACCAACAGUCAUCACACCUAAACACCUAAAGUAAAUGAAAAGAUAACGCCCAAGGAUAACUCCAAAAUCUACACCUAAUUCCCAAACUCAAAAAUUAAGCACAGAAAUCUAAUAUAGCACUAUAAACCAAAACACCAAAGAGCACGUUAGCAAAGCAGUAAACCAUCCGGGUAAAAGCCACAAAAGAACAUCAGGCACCUAAUCCCUAUGUUCAAUAAGUACGAAAGCCGAAACUCAUUCUUGACAAUGUAGCAAUGAACACCUAAUUUGCGUUCUUAGACUCCCAAAAAAUAGAAUCUAACAGCAAUAAAACAAAGAUAGUGACAAUAAAAACAACGAAACAACGUGACAUUGAGAAACAUAACAGAGAUAAUGACAACAAACUCUCAUGGUAAAUUAGACAAACACCUAAAGUGCAAACUGUUACUAAAAAAAAAAUCAAGCCAAAGUAAUUGAAGUCAGAAAUUAAAGCAAGAUAUUGUAAUUAAAAGGCAAAAAACAAUGAAUAAUUUUUUUUAUAAUGACAGUAAAAAGAAAAAACCAACAUAAAAAAUUCAGAUUACAGUUUCUAACAAUUUAUACAAAAUCAGCUUGACAUAGCAUGGGAUUUGGCUCACGAUCAAGCAGUAAACGAAGCAUGACGAUACCACUGAAUUGACAAAUCAACAGUUUGUAAAUACAACCCUUUCAGAAACUGCUGAGCAGUUCGAUACCACUGAAAUUAUAAAAGAAUGGGUUUUUUUAUAUUAACAAAAUGCUUUUCAAAGAAUCUUCUUUUCAGCAAAACUUUUGGGUACUUUGAUUUAGAUUUAUGUAAACUCAUUUUUACAGGAGCAAAAGAGAUCUUCGUAUCUUGGAGAAGCAAAAAAAACUCACCUGUAGUGGAGUUGAUGACAGCGCUGGUGAGAGCCAAAGAACGCCGAUGAGAGAGAGGUAGGCCGGCGAGAGGAGAGGAGGUGAGAAGUGAAGAUUUUGGGAGGAUAUGGAUCUUUGAAUUUAGAUGCGUAAAACAACUUACCGAGUCAAGAAGCGGGAAAUUAGGAAAAU
RNAcentral lists this long non-coding RNA (5858 nucleotides) under Gossypium barbadense (sea-island cotton). RNAcentral describes it as "long non-coding RNA (GBAR_LNC014530)". Lineage: Eukaryota; Viridiplantae; Streptophyta; Magnoliopsida; Malvales; Malvaceae. The record is from RNAcentral.